GACGAACGCUGGCGGCGUGCUUAACACAUGCAAGUCGAACGAUGACGACCGAGCUUGCUCGGUCUGAUUAGUGGCGAACGGGUGAGUAACACGUGAGCAACCUGCCCUUCACUCUGGGAUAACCUCGGGAAAUCGGGGCUAAUACCGGAUAUGAGCUCCUGUCGCAUGGCGGGUGUUGGAAAGUUUUUCGGUGAAGGAUGGGCUCGCGGCCUAUCAGUUUGUUGGUGAGGUAGUGGCUCACCAAGGCGAUGACGGGUAGCCGGCCUGAGAGGGCGACCGGCCACACUGGGACUGGGACACGGCCCAGACUCCUACGGGAGGCAGCAGUGGGGAAUAUUGCACAAUGGGCGAAAGCCUGAUGCAGCGACGCCGCGUGAGGGAUGACGGCCUUCGGGUUGUAAACCUCUUUCAGCAGGGAAGAAGCGAAAGUGACGGUACCUGCAGAAGAAGCGCCGGCUAACUACGUG
This 467-nucleotide ribosomal RNA is filed under the name uncultured bacterium. RNAcentral describes it as "partial 16S ribosomal RNA". It matches the Rfam family "Bacterial small subunit ribosomal RNA", at positions 28 to 507 of the family's 1533-position model. The record is from RNAcentral.